This 253-nucleotide ribosomal RNA is filed under the name uncultured bacterium. Its description in RNAcentral is "partial 16S ribosomal RNA". It matches the Rfam family "Bacterial small subunit ribosomal RNA", at positions 524 to 776 of the family's 1533-position model. The record is from RNAcentral.
UACGUAGGGGGCUAGCGUUGUCCGGAAUCAUUGGGCGUAAAGCGCGUGUAGGCGGUCCGGUAAGUCCGUUGUGAAAGUCGAGGGCUCAACCCUCGAAUGCCGGUGGAUACUGUCGGGCUUGAGUACGGGAGAGGCGAGUGGAAUUCCUGGUGUAGCGGUGAAAUGCGUAGAUAUCUGGAAGAACACCGGUGGCGAAGGCGGCCUCCUGGACGGUGACUGACGCUGAGACGCGAAAGCGUGGGGAGCAAACAGG